Molecule: small RNA, 637 nt
Filed under: Pan troglodytes (chimpanzee)
Lineage: Eukaryota; Metazoa; Chordata; Mammalia; Primates; Hominidae
Description: processed transcript
Source: RNAcentral
UUACAGGGCGAAGUUGAACAAAUUGCUAUGAUGAAACCAAAAGGCCAGACUGAACACGAUGAGGUUAAACAGGGUAAAGAUGGUGGAAAAGGAAAAGGAUGCCUUAGAAGGAGAGAAAAACAUAGCUAUCGAAUUUCUUACCUUGGAAAAUGAAAUAUUUAGAAAGAAGAAUCAUGUUUGUCAAUAUUAUAUUUAUGAGUUGCAGAAACGAAUUGCUGAAAUGGAAACUCAAAAGGAAAAAAUUCAUGAAGAUACCAAAGAAAUUAAUGAGAAGAGCAAUAUACUAUCAAAUGAAAUGAAAGCUAAGAAUAAAGAUGUAAAAGAUACAGAAAAGAAACUGAAUAAAAUUACAAAAUUUAUUGAGGAGAAUAAAGAAAAAUUUACACAGCUAGAUUUGGAAGAUGUUCAAGUUAGAGAAAAAUUAAAACAUGCCACGAGUAAAGCCAAAAAACUGGAAAAACAACUUCAAAAAGAUAAAGAAAAGGUUGAAGAAUUUAAAAGUAUACCUGCCAAGAGUAACAAUAUCAUUAAUGAAACAACAACCAGAAACAAUGCCCUCGAGAAGGAAAAAGAGAAAGAAGAAAAAAAAUUAAAGGAAGUUAUGGAUAGCCUUAAACAGGAAACACAAGGGCUUCAG